GCUUUUGUACACACCGCCCGUCGCUACUACCGAUUGAAUGAUUUAGUGAGGUCUUCGGACUGGUACGCGGCAUCGACUCUGUCGUUGCCGAUGCUACCGGAAAGAUGACCAAACUUGAUCAUUUAGAGGAAGUAAAAGUCGUAACAAGGUUUCCGUAGGUGAGCCUGCGGAAGGAUCAUUA
Molecule: ribosomal RNA, 181 nt
Filed under: Omocestus burri
Lineage: Eukaryota; Metazoa; Arthropoda; Insecta; Orthoptera; Acrididae
Description: partial 18S ribosomal RNA
Rfam family: Eukaryotic small subunit ribosomal RNA
Source: RNAcentral